CCUACGGGGGGCAGCAGUGGGGAAUAUUGGACAAUGGGGGCAACCCUGAUCCAGCCAUGCCUCGUGUGUGAAGAAGGCCCUCGGGUUGUAAAGCACUUUCAGUGAGGAAGAACGCCUGGUGGUUAAUACCCAUCAGGAAAGACAUCACUCACAGAAGAAGCACCGGCUAACUCCGUGCCAGCAGCCGCGGUAAUACGGAGGGUGCGAGCGUUAACGGAAUUACUGGGCGUAAAGCGCGCGUAGGUGGCUUGAUAAGCCGGUUGUGAAAGCCCCGGGCUCAACCUGGGAACGGCAUCCGGAACUGUCAAGCUAGAGUGCAGGAGAGGAAGGUAGAAUUCCCGGUGUAGCGGUGAAAUGCGUAGAGAUCGGGAGGAAUACCAGUGGCGAAGGCGGCCUUCUGGACUGACACUGACACUGAGGUGCGAAAGCGUGGGUAGCAAACAGGAUUAGAUACCCUGGUAGUC
This 464-nucleotide ribosomal RNA is filed under the name Vreelandella stevensii. Its description in RNAcentral is "partial 16S ribosomal RNA". It matches the Rfam family "Bacterial small subunit ribosomal RNA", at positions 338 to 795 of the family's 1533-position model. Lineage: Bacteria; Pseudomonadati; Pseudomonadota; Gammaproteobacteria; Oceanospirillales; Halomonadaceae. The record is from RNAcentral.